RNAcentral lists this long non-coding RNA (398 nucleotides) under Erythranthe guttata (spotted monkey flower). RNAcentral's name for it is "long non-coding RNA (EGUT_LNC002971)". The record is from RNAcentral. Lineage: Eukaryota; Viridiplantae; Streptophyta; Magnoliopsida; Lamiales; Phrymaceae.
AAGGUUAUCAGAACCGGACCGGACCGGCCGGUCGAACCGGUCCGACCGCGACCCGUGAAGAAAACGGUCCGAUCCAAUCCCCAAAACCGGAAAAACUAAAAAACCGGUCCAAAUGUCUAAAACCGGGUUCGACCGGACAAAACCGGUGAACCCGGAAACCGGCCAUUGACUCCGGUUCUUGUCUAAAACACUGCGUUAAGGUGGCUAUGGUGGCGGCAUAUGGGCGGAAUUCGGCGGGGUGGCUGGAUCUGGGUGGAGUAGGGCCGUGGGCGACCGGAAUUUGACGGAUCUGGACGUGGGUUGCCGGAAUUUGUUGAAUCUGGUCGUGGAUGACCGGAACAAGUUGUGGGUGACUGAAUAUGGAGGGAGAAAAGAAAUAGACGAAGAAAAUGAAAAAA